RNAcentral lists this ribosomal RNA (2804 nucleotides) under Cronobacter sakazakii. RNAcentral describes it as "bacterial LSU rRNA". It matches the Rfam family "Bacterial large subunit ribosomal RNA". The record is from RNAcentral. Lineage: Bacteria; Pseudomonadati; Pseudomonadota; Gammaproteobacteria; Enterobacterales; Enterobacteriaceae.
GGGUUGUGAGGUUAAGCGAACAAGCGUACACGGUGGAUGCCCUGGCAGUCAGAGGCGAUGAAGGACGUGCUAAUCUGCGAAAAGCGCCGGUAAGGUGAUAUGAACCGUUAUAACCGGCGAUGUCCGAAUGGGGAAACCCGGUGCACUUCGGUGCAUCAUCGUUAGCUGAAUACAUAGGCUAACGAGGCGAACCGGGGGAACUGAAACAUCUAAGUACCCCGAGGAAAAGAAAUCAACCGAGAUUCCCCCAGUAGCGGCGAGCGAACGGGGAACAGCCCAGAGCCUGAAUCAGCUUGUGUGUCAGUGGAACGGUCUGGAAAGGCCGGCGAUACAGGGUGACAGCCCCGUACACGAAGGCACACAGGCUGUGAGCUCGAUGAGUAGGGCGGGACACGUGAUAUCCUGUCUGAAGAUGGGGGGACCAUCCUCCAAGGCUAAAUACUCCUGACUGACCGAUAGUGAACCAGUACCGUGAGGGAAAGGCGAAAAGAACCCCGGCGAGGGGAGUGAAACAGAACCUGAAACCGUGUACGUACAAGCAGUGGGAGCCUUCGUAAGAGGGUGACUGCGUACCUUUUGUAUAAUGGGUCAGCGACUUAUAUUCUGUAGCAAGGUUAACCGUAUAGGGGAGCCGAAGGGAAACCGAGUCUUAACCGGGCGUUAAGUUGCAGGGUAUAGACCCGAAACCCGGUGAUCUAGCCAUGGGCAGGUUGAAGGUUGGGUAACACUAACUGGAGGACCGAACCGACUAAUGUUGAAAAAUUAGCGGAUGACCUGUGGCUGGGGGUGAAAGGCCAAUCAAACCGGGAGAUAGCUGGUUCUCCCCGAAAGCUAUUUAGGUAGCGCCUCGUGAACUCAUCUCCGGGGGUAGAGCACUGUUUCGGCUAGGGGGCCAUCCCGGCUUACCAACCCGAUGCAAACUGCGAAUACCGGAGAAUGUUAUCACGGGAGACACACGGCGGGUGCUAACGUCCGUCGUGAAGAGGGAAACAACCCAGACCGCCAGCUAAGGUCCCAAAGUCAUGGUUAAGUGGGAAACGAUGUGGGAAGGCCCAGACAGCCAGGAUGUUGGCUUAGAAGCAGCCAUCAUUUAAAGAAAGCGUAAUAGCUCACUGGUCGAGUCGGCCUGCGCGGAAGAUGUAACGGGGCUAAACCAUGCACCGAAGCUGCGGCAGCGACACGUAUGUGUUGUUGGGUAGGGGAGCGUUCUGUAAGCCUGUGAAGGUGUGCUGUGAGGCAUGCUGGAGGUAUCAGAAGUGCGAAUGCUGACAUAAGUAACGAUAAAGCGGGUGAAAAGCCCGCUCGCCGGAAGACCAAGGGUUCCUGUCCAACGUUAAUCGGGGCAGGGUGAGUCGACCCCUAAGGCGAGGCCGAAAGGCGUAGUCGAUGGGAAACAGGUUAAUAUUCCUGUACUUGGUGUUACUGCGAAGGGGGGACGGAGAAGGCUAUGUCGGCCGGGCGACGGUUGUCCCGGUUUAAGCGUGUAGGCUGACUUUCCAGGCAAAUCCGGAAGGUUAAGGCUGAGGCGUGAUGACGAGGCACCACGGUGCUGAAGUGACAAAUGCCCUGCUUCCAGGAAAAGCCUCUAAGCAUCAGGUAACAUCAAAUCGUACCCCAAACCGACACAGGUGGUCAGGUAGAGAAUACCAAGGCGCUUGAGAGAACUCGGGUGAAGGAACUAGGCAAAAUGGUGCCGUAACUUCGGGAGAAGGCACGCUGACAUGUAGGUGAAGCCCCUGCGGGUGGAGCUGAAGUCAGUCGAAGAUACCAGCUGGCUGCAACUGUUUAUUAAAAACACAGCACUGUGCAAACACGAAAGUGGACGUAUACGGUGUGACGCCUGCCCGGUGCCGGAAGGUUAAUUGAUGGGGUUAUCGCAAGAGAAGCUCCUGAUCGAAGCCCCGGUAAACGGCGGCCGUAACUAUAACGGUCCUAAGGUAGCGAAAUUCCUUGUCGGGUAAGUUCCGACCUGCACGAAUGGCGUAAUGAUGGCCAGGCUGUCUCCACCCGAGACUCAGUGAAAUUGAACUCGCUGUGAAGAUGCAGUGUACCCGCGGCAAGACGGAAAGACCCCGUGAACCUUUACUACAGCUUGACACUGAACAUUGAGCCUUGAUGUGUAGGAUAGGUGGGAGGCUUUGAAGCGUGGACGCCAGUCUGCGUGGAGCCGACCUUGAAAUACCACCCUUUAAUGUUUGAUGUUCUAACCUGGCGCCGUGAUCCGGCGUGGGGACAGUGUCUGGUGGGUAGUUUGACUGGGGCGGUCUCCUCCCAAAGUGUAACGGAGGAGCACGAAGGUCAGCUAAUCCUGGUCGGACAUCAGGAGGUUAGUGCAAUGGCAUAAGCUGGCUUGACUGCGAGAGUGACGGCUCGAGCAGGUGCGAAAGCAGGUCAUAGUGAUCCGGUGGUUCUGUAUGGAAGGGCCAUCGCUCAACGGAUAAAAGGUACUCCGGGGAUAACAGGCUGAUACCGCCCAAGAGUUCAUAUCGACGGCGGUGUUUGGCACCUCGAUGUCGGCUCAUCACAUCCUGGGGCUGAAGUAGGUCCCAAGGGUAUGGCUGUUCGCCAUUUAAAGUGGUACGCGAGCUGGGUUUAGAACGUCGUGAGACAGUUCGGUCCCUAUCUGCCGUGGGCGCUGGAGAAUUGAGGGGGGCUGCUCCCAGUACGAGAGGACCGGAGUGGACGCAUCACUGGUGUUCGGGUUGUCAUGCCAAUGGCACUGCCCGGUAGCUAAAUGCGGAAGAGAUAAGUGCUGAAAGCAUCUAAGCACGAAACUUGCCCCGAGAUGAGUUCUCCCUGAGACU